Molecule: non-coding RNA, 92 nt
Filed under: Ferroacidibacillus organovorans
Lineage: Bacteria; Bacillati; Bacillota; Bacilli; Caryophanales; Alicyclobacillaceae
Description: Acidibacillus ferrooxidans c-di-GMP sequence
Rfam family: c-di-GMP-I riboswitch aptamer
About the family: GEMM was predicted in a large-scale screen for bacterial structured RNA regulatory elements. Genes associated with GEMM are involved in a diverse array of functions, including chemotaxis regulation, signal transduction, secretion and chitin.
Source: RNAcentral
AACCGGAAAUCGCAAACCCGUUGAAAUGCGGGGACGCAAAGUCUCAGUUCUAAGGCUGACCCAAUGUUGGCUAAGAAGGCUGGACCGCAGAA